UAAUGCCGGAUGCUCCGACUCCUCGCAUGGGGUGUCGGGAAAGAUUUCAUCGGUAUGGGAUGGGGUCGCGUCCUAUCAGGUAGUCGGCGGGGUAACGGCCCACCGAGCCUACGACGGGUAGCCGGCCUGAGAGGGCGACCGGCCACAUUGGGACUGAGAUACGGCCCAGACUCCUACGGGAGGCAGCAGUGGGGAAUAUUGCACAAUGGGCGCAAGCCUGAUGCAGCGACGCCGCGUGCGGGAUGACGGCCUUCGGGUUGUAAACCGCUUUUGAUCGGGAGCAAGCCUUCGGGUGAGUGUACCUUUCGAAUAAGCACCGGCUAACUACGUGCCAGCAGCCGCGGUAAUACGUAGGGUGCAAGCGUUAUCCGGAAUUAUUGGGCGUAAAGGGCUCGUAGGCGGUUCGUCGCGUCCGGUGUGAAAGUCCAUCGCUUAACGGUGGAUCUGCGCCGGGUACGGGCGGGCUGGAGUGCGGUAGGGGAGACUGGAAUUCCCGGUGUAACGGUGGAAUGUGUAGAUA
Molecule: ribosomal RNA, 520 nt
Filed under: Bifidobacterium pseudocatenulatum
Lineage: Bacteria; Bacillati; Actinomycetota; Actinomycetes; Bifidobacteriales; Bifidobacteriaceae
Description: bacterial SSU rRNA
Rfam family: Bacterial small subunit ribosomal RNA
Source: RNAcentral